This 442-nucleotide ribosomal RNA is filed under the name uncultured bacterium. RNAcentral describes it as "partial 16S ribosomal RNA". It matches the Rfam family "Bacterial small subunit ribosomal RNA", at positions 32 to 526 of the family's 1533-position model. The record is from RNAcentral.
AAUAAAUGCUAUCGGUAUGCUUAACACAUGCAAGUUUAAUGUUUUAAAAACAUAGCGAACGGGUGAGUAACACGUGAAUUAUCUACCUUUUAAUUCAGAAUAAUUAUUUUUAUAAAAAUACUGAAUAAAUAAAUUAAAGUUUUUUAACGUUAAAAGAUGAGUUUGCGCAAGAUUAUGGUAGUUGGCUGUUUAAAAGACUCCCAAGCCUCUGAUCUUUAGCUGGUUUGAAAGAAUGAUCAGCCACAUUGGGACUGAGACACGGCCCAAACUUUUUUAAAGGCAGCAGUGAGGAAUUUUGGACAAUGAGCGACAGCUUGAUCCAGCAAUACGGAGUGAGUGAUGAAGGCUAAUUAGGUUGUAAAACUCUUUCAUUAAGGAGGAAAAUGACAGUACUUAAAAAAGAAGUUCCGGCUAAUACCCGUGCCAGCAGCCGCAGUAAAAC